Strigops habroptila (Kakapo) is the source of this 1310-nucleotide RNA transcript. It is a transcript of the gene named small integral membrane protein 33, with no coding region annotated. NCBI's taxonomy places the organism in Eukaryota, Metazoa, Chordata, Aves, Psittaciformes, Psittacidae. The record is from RefSeq and is a predicted model, not a curated record. The transcript has 2 exons.
GCUGAGAUGGCUGGAUCAGAAGCCCUUAUGCCACAAAAUUUCCUUCUUCCCCGCCACUGUUCUCAUCUAACCUGCUGCUGCAACCCCAUUUAUUGCUGGAUGGCCCAGCUGGCCUGAAGGUCAGACCAGUUACAAGCCAGGAUGCCCCUGAGCCACAUUCUGAGGUCUCCAGCUCCCAGCUACGACAGCUGUCAGCAAAGCAAGAGGUGCCUGAUGAUGCAGGAAAAAACAACCUGUCACCCUUCAGAGCAGGAAACCGGUUCCGUCAUCCCACACCACGACUCACGUGGGAAAGAGAAGUUAAAGCACAGUUACCACAAAGGAGCAGGAUUAUUACAAUAAGGAUGAGGCAUGUUCUGUGUGAGUCCUGCUCGUGGUCUGUGUAUUUAUAUUGAUGAGAGGAAAAGUUAAAAUGGGUCAAGGAAAAAGAGAUUUUUGAAGAAAACAAUAUCUUGUACAUUUAAAUGUUCUAACUUUUGUCAAAUAAGGGUAAAGUCGCUUACUACAAAAUGCCUCAGCAUCACAAAACUCAGCAGAAACACUCCUUUUGUUAACCAGGGAACAAGUUAUUUCAUUUUAUUGCUGCCAAAUAACCCUGUAAACCUGCUACAGCCACACUUUUCCCAUCAACCUGACCCCUGCCACCCCUGAAUCUAAAGGCUGAGCUUUCCCAUAGCAGCUACUACACGUUCAAACCUCUCACCGCUUCCCUUUGGUGCCCCCAUGAAGCCGAGCACCCCAAACCCACCCAUGCAGCCCCUGAGGAGCACCUCACCUCGGAACAGCACACAGCCGAACAGCCAGAGGAGCGGAUGGAUGGAUGGAGCCAGCAUCUUCUCGGUGGCUUGUGGCUGUGCAGCCCUGCUGAGGCUCUGUCCAUCCCGGGAGGGACAAGAGGGUGAGGAGCGAUUUGCCUGCCUGGGCUGACUCUCACAGAGCUUCCUGUUAAAGAAUAGAAGGAAACGGGCUGAAUCCACAGGGGAACUGUGUUUUUUAGCCCAUUAUGGUCGGAGAGGAUGUGAGACAUCGCUUGCCGAUGCAAAGGAAACCUCGCCAUCAGUUGGUGGGGGGAUUCAGCUCUUGUAGCGGGGGAGAGCAGUGGCACAGUGAGCCUGGCCUGGCUUGGGCCUCGGCAGCUGCUUUACGGUGCUUGGGGUUUUUGGGAGUUGCUUUGUUUGCUGCUCCAUGCCCUGCACCUCCCUGUGCAGCUCCAGUGAGUCUGGGCACCAGGAUGUGCUGGGUUUGGGACGCUGGCUCUGGGAUGCUGUUUUUCAGGUAGCAGCAGCAUCCUUCCUGCAGGACAUGCAGCA